Molecule: long non-coding RNA, 1326 nt
Filed under: Cyanistes caeruleus (blue tit)
Lineage: Eukaryota; Metazoa; Chordata; Aves; Passeriformes; Paridae
Description: lncRNA (ENSCCEG00000003258.1)
Source: RNAcentral
GUUAGAUCUGUACAUGAAAAUUGAGCAAACUACAUUAUUUUGUGCUAUGCUGUACUGCAGGUAUUCAAGAAGGAAAUGGAGAAGAUGCCCUUCCACAAAACAGAGGGUUUAAAGGAUUUCGUGGUGGCUCUGGACAAGGUGAGGGUUUUCAAGAACGAAAAGCUGUAGAUGGUGCUAGUACACAGAACAGAGGGUUUAAAGGAUUUCGUGGUGGCUUUGGACAAGGUGAGAGCAAGUUAGAUGGUUUGUUCUUCUUUUCAUACAGAGUGGUUUGGUAUGGGUACAGGAUAUGUUUGAUGAUCUUCCUGGAUUUGUUUGCUUCCUGAGAGCUACUGCACAGAACUGAGAAUUCCUACUACUGGUUCUGUUCUUCAGCUGUGUUGUGGCAUAUGAAUGGUCUCUUUUAAAAGCAAGUAUUAUUGGAUACAGGAUAGGUUGGAUCUAAUGAAGAAGUUGUUGGGACUAUUGCUCUGCUGAUUUAUUGGAGUCAAUAGCUGGCUUUAGUUUGUAGUAUUUCAUGAUAUUAAUGUGCAUAUGAUUUAGAGGAACUGAUCAAGCAGCUCCCUCCUCCCAUCCCUCCACUUCAUGCCAGCCGUUCAGGUGAGCUAGGGGCAGAAUUUGGGCCGUUUGCAUACAAUUGAAAACACUCUGACCAGGAGUGGGCAAACUGGGGUAUAGCAUGGCAGGCAGUAGGAGUGCUGAAAUGGCAGGGCAGUGAAGGUGUGGCACAACAGGGACUGGCAUGCCCAUUUAUGUGGCAGUUUGCACAGGUGGGGCACAGCCAUCCUCCUCGUGAUAGGUUGAGUGUUAAUAUGUCAGUGUGGUAUUUUGGCAGGUUUGUUGUUGUACUUGUUUGUUUGGGUUUGUGUCAUUCCCGUUCUUCCCCCUCCACCCCCGCUUACUAGAUCCAGUACUGAUUUGCAAAUGGUCAGAAGCAAUUGCUGCUGUCAGCCAGGGUUUGCUAACCCAGACAUAAUUCCCCAAGAGGGAAACAGGUGUCCAGGCCACUGGCUGCAGUGAGUGUCUUGGCCUGGUGUUAGUACCAGAAGAUGUUGCAAAAAAAAAAAUCUGCCUGUGGUGUAAGCAGGUGAGUGAUUUGAUCUGUCUAGGGGCAGAGCUUAAGAGAUGGAAUGGUUGAGGAGUAUUAGAGGUAGCAAAAGAGAAAUAGACUAGGGGAGUUACACCCUUCCAACUCUUAAGAGAAGCUCAGCAGAUGUCAGAGGAGCCCUGCCUCCUGCAGGGAGGAGGAGGAGACCUCCCUAGAUGGGGUGGGAAUCAAGUCCCUUCUUGGAAAUCAAAAAAUUCCCUUGCCAUUGCCUUCCCAGG